Molecule: ribosomal RNA, 210 nt
Filed under: uncultured bacterium
Lineage: Bacteria
Description: partial 16S ribosomal RNA
Rfam family: Bacterial small subunit ribosomal RNA
Source: RNAcentral
AGUUCGGAUUGAAGGCUGAAAUUCGCCUUCAUGAAGUCGGAAUUGCUAGUAAUGGCAGGUCAGCAUACUGCCGUGAAUACGUUCCCGGGCCCUGUACACACCGCCCGUCACACCAUGAGAGUUGGAGAUACCCGAAGCCUAUGAGCUAACUUUUAGAGGCAGUAGUCGAAGGUAGAAUCAAUGAUUGGGGUGAAGUCGUAACAAGGUAGC